This 406-nucleotide ribosomal RNA is filed under the name uncultured bacterium. Its description in RNAcentral is "partial 16S ribosomal RNA". It matches the Rfam family "Bacterial small subunit ribosomal RNA", at positions 30 to 526 of the family's 1533-position model. The record is from RNAcentral.
AUUGAACGCUGGCGGCAGGCCUAACACAUGCAAGUCGAACGAGUGGCGGACGGGUGAGUAAUGACUGGGAAACUGCCUGAUGGAGGGGGAUAACUAAUGGAAACGGUAGCUAAUACCGCAUACCAUCGGAUGUGCCCAGAUGGGAUUAGCUAGUAGGUGGGGUAACGGCUAACCUAGGCGACGAUCCCUAGCUGGUCUGAGAGGAUGACCAGCCACACUGGAACUGAGACACGGUCCAGACUCCUACGGGAGGCAGCAGUGGGGAAUAUUGGACAAGGGGCGAAAGCCUGAUGCAGCCAUGCCGCGUGUGUGAAGAAGGUCUUCGGAUUGUAAAGCACUUUUAGUAGGGAGGCGUUACUCACAGAAUAAGCACCGGCUAACUCCGUGCCAGCAGCCGCGGUAAUUC